UAAGGAAUAUUGCGCAAUGGGCGAAAGCCUGACGCAGCGACGCCGCGUGGGGGAUGAAGGUCUUCGGAUUGUAAACCCCUUUCGGGAGGGAAGAUGGAAUGGGGUAACUCAUUCGGACGGUACCUCCAGAAGCAGCCACGGCUAACUUCGUGCCAGCAGCCGCGGUAAUACGAAGGUGGCAAGCGUUAUUCGGAUUUACUGGGCGUACAGGGAGCGUAGGCGGUUUGGUAAGCCCUCUGUGAAAUCUCCAGGCUUAACCUGGAAAAGUCGGAGGGGACUGCUGGGCUAGAGGACGGGAGAGGAGCGCGGAAUUCCCGGUGUAGCGGUGAAAUGCGUAGAGAUCGGGAGGAAGGCCGGUGGCGAAGGCGGCGCUCUGGAACGUUUCUGACGCUGAGGCUCGAAAGCGUGGGGAGCAAACAGGAUUAGAUACCCAUGUAGUCCCUGAGCGGGCUGGCAAGGCGCAU
This 464-nucleotide ribosomal RNA is filed under the name uncultured bacterium. Its description in RNAcentral is "bacterial SSU rRNA". It matches the Rfam family "Bacterial small subunit ribosomal RNA", at positions 355 to 825 of the family's 1533-position model. The record is from RNAcentral.